GUCCACGCCCUAAACGAUGUCAACUUGUUGUUGGACGGCUUGCUGUUCAGUAACGAAGCUAACGCGUGAAGUUGACCGCCUGGGGAGUACGGCCGCAAGGUUGAAACUCAAAGGAAUUGAUGGGGACCCCGCACAAGCGGUGGAUGAUGUGGUUUAAUUCGAUGCAACGCGAAAACCUUACCUACCCUUUACAUGUCAAGAAUCUUGCAGAGAUGUGAGAGUGCUCGAAAGAGAACUUGAACACAGGUGCUGCAUGGCCGUCGU
Molecule: ribosomal RNA, 264 nt
Filed under: uncultured bacterium
Lineage: Bacteria
Description: partial 16S ribosomal RNA
Rfam family: Bacterial small subunit ribosomal RNA
Source: RNAcentral